GCUUGCAUCUAGGGCGUGUUUAAUUGGUUUGCUUCUUUUUCACUCUGGAAUCGAAAUUGUAAUGAGCGAAUCCGUUUGUAGGUGUUUGGUACGUAGGAGUCCCAUUCUGAUUCCGAUUCCCAACUGGAAUGAGAAUCCCCCAAUGUCAUGUCCCGGAUUACUCGUUUCCCCGGGCACGCCAACAGACCCGCCGUAUAUAUAGAAAUUUUUCCUGUAUACGAAGCGAUAGCUGUACCUGUACCUGUACCUGUAAUCAUACAAUACUACAACCAGUAGUAUAGAGCUGCUAAAAAGAACAACAUAUAGAUAUAAAUAACACUGGUUCAACAUACAUACAUACUAUCCAAAUACAAAAACACUCGCUCUAGCGAGUUAGAACAUCAGUAUGUAUAAGAACCCAAAAACUAUAAUUACCUAUAGCUGAUACUCCUCUAGUUCUGUAACUCAUCAGGAAGGGCUCUAACUCGCAACACCCUUUCCACGAUCAGAAUCAGUAGUAGCAGCAGCCGCAACCGAAGGCUUUGCAAAAGAAUCACAACUGGGUGUAAGAACUACUGCGAAAAGGAAGUAGUUCUCAGUGGGUACCGCUACCGAUCUCAACGGCUCACCCACUAAGUCUACAGAAUGUAUGCUCAAUGAUAGUAAGGAACUGAAAAAAAUCUACAACUAUAUGCCACUAUACUCUCACGAUUCAAUACUAACUAUCAGUAGAACAAUGCAAUCUCUGACUCAAUCUCACUAGGGACUGCGAAUACACCCGUCCCGCCUAUCGAAGCUACAUAGCUACCUCCAUGCUAGGCCGUCAGUGGAGAGCAAGUCCAAUCAAGACACAACGAUACCAACACAAACGCACUAAGCUCGACUCCGGAGUGGCACUCGUAGGUGCUACCCAACCGAGUAUGCAGGUGUGUCUCUAUCGAGCUCAAUCAGGCUCUCACAGGCUAUAAUCAAAGUAAACAAGGUCUAACAACCAAACUCACGUGCCCUCAGCACAAUCUGAUGCAAAAACAGAAAUCUGGGUCCACCAUCAACCUCAACGGCACCAGACAGUCCGGAACAGUCUAAACAUUGCUGUAAAAAAUAAGCUCGACAUCUCAGUACAAGUGUAAAUACAUUCUACACUAUCCUGGGUAUCUACCGCCUACAAACUGCGGCGAUACAAACAAACUACGGCUUCUAGAGCUAAAUCUGGUAGUUUUAGCAAAUGACGGUGUAGAAUAACUAGUUUUCUCCUAAGUCAAUUCCAACUCCAAUAUGUAUAUUUUAUCUAAUAUACUAGGCUCCAAUUCAGAUUUUA
This 1297-nucleotide long non-coding RNA is filed under the name Ananas comosus (pineapple). RNAcentral's name for it is "long non-coding RNA (ACOM_LNC031716)". The record is from RNAcentral. Lineage: Eukaryota; Viridiplantae; Streptophyta; Magnoliopsida; Poales; Bromeliaceae.